Molecule: small nuclear RNA, 25 nt
Filed under: Arabidopsis thaliana (thale cress)
Lineage: Eukaryota; Viridiplantae; Streptophyta; Magnoliopsida; Brassicales; Brassicaceae
Description: snRNA_11067
Source: RNAcentral
GAAGUAUCUCAAUGAGAUACCCAAC